RNAcentral lists this long non-coding RNA (863 nucleotides) under Olea europaea subsp. europaea. Lineage: Eukaryota; Viridiplantae; Streptophyta; Magnoliopsida; Lamiales; Oleaceae. The record is from RNAcentral.
CCUACACUGCCUCGUUCGACGUGAGUUUUUCCAUUAUGUGCUUAAGUGAUUGAUUGCAAUACGCGAAAACAGUUUGAACAUCAGCCUAUUACGAUAAUUACUCGCACGCAUAAUGUACAACGCUGAUCGAAAAGUGCAUACAAAGUGAAAACGGAUUACAUAAAACUUUUUACAGAUCGAUUGCACACAAACAUAAAGUUCACAACAAUCACAGGUGCAACUGCUUGUCCCGCUCAUUGAACAUCCACUCGAUCCACUCAAAUUUCUCAUUAACGUCUUUCAUGACGCCGAGCAUGUCCCAGUAGCGCUUCUGUGCAAGAAGUGCACAUGCGAAAAAGUAGAGAGGUGUACGCCGCUGCAGUCGUCCCGUCGCCAACAACUCUUCAACGCAAGCAAUGCCGGCAUUGUUGUUCGAAGUCAUCAUGGUAUUAAUUUUCGCUGCCACUUUCUCCCCUGCACUGGUGGCACGGUCGAUUGAAAACAACAACUCACGCGCUGAGAUCUUUUUCUUCUUGCCACGUUGCUUAGCGCUAGAAGACUUCCUUUUACGGCCACUGGUGGUGCUAGAGACGUUUAUGCCAACUCCGACGUUUGCUUUGUCCAUCUCAUCACAAGAACCACUGCUCUCCCCGUCAAUCGGGAUUACGUCCAUAUUGUCUUCGAGCACACUAUCCUCGAAUAGGCAGAAUCCAGUUUUGCACAAUUUUGUUGGCGUGACUGCGUACUUGUCGCCGAAUAGCUGACGGUAGCGAACAUAGAUAUUGUUGACGUCCUUGUCUUUAAAUUCUUUAUCGUCCUUAUUUUCCUGCGAAUAAAGGUUUCACCAGUGAGGCUACCAUUUUGGGCAUUGUAAAGAGUUCUAG